Cavia aperea (Brazilian guinea pig) is the source of this 69-nucleotide small nucleolar RNA. The record is from Ensembl. Lineage: Eukaryota; Metazoa; Chordata; Mammalia; Rodentia; Caviidae.
UCUAGGAUGAAACCUAAUCUGAGUGGACAUCUGUGGAUGAGAAAUGUGGAUAUGGGACUGAAACUAGUG